AUUGAACGCUGGCGGCAGGCCUAACACAUGCAAGUCGAGCGGCAGCGGAAAGUAGCUUGCUACUUUGCCGGCGAGCGGCGGACGGGUGAGUAAUGUCUGGGAAACUGCCUGAUGGCGGGGGAUAACUACUGGAAACGGUAGCUAAUACCGCAUAACGUCGCAAGACCAAAGAGGGGGACCUUCGGGCCCCUUGCCAUCAGAUGUGCCCAGAUGGGAUUAGCUAGUAGGUGGGGUAACGGCUCACCUAGGCGACGAUCCCUAGCUGGUCUGAGAGGAUGACCAGCCACACUGGAACUGAGACACGGUCCAGACUCCUACGGGAGGCAGCAGUGGGGAAUAUUGCACAAUGGGCGCAAGCCUGAUGCAGCCAUGCCGCGUGUAUGAAGAAGGCCUUCGGGUUGUAAAGUACUUUCAGCGGGGAGGAAGGUGUUGUGGUUAAUAACCACAGCAAUUGACGUUACCCGCAGAAGAAGCACCGGCUAACUCCGUGCCAGCCGCCGCAGUAA
This 506-nucleotide ribosomal RNA is filed under the name uncultured bacterium. RNAcentral describes it as "partial 16S ribosomal RNA". It matches the Rfam family "Bacterial small subunit ribosomal RNA", at positions 30 to 523 of the family's 1533-position model. The record is from RNAcentral.